UAGAGUUUGAUCAUGGCUCAGGACGAACGCUGGCGGCGUGCUUAACACAUGCAAGUCACGGGGGCCCGCAAGGGCAACCGGCGAACGGGUGCGUAACACGUGAGCAAUCUGCCGAUCUCUGGGGGAUAGCCGGCCCAACGGCCGGGUAAUACCGCAUACGCUCAUCGGGGGACAUCCCCUGGUGAGGAAACCUCCGGGGGAGAUCGAGGAGCUCGCGACCUAUCAGCUAGUUGGUGAGGUAACGGCUCACCAAGGCUACGACGGGUAGCUGGUYUGAGAGGAUGGCCAGCCACAUUGGGACUGCGACACGGCCCAGACUCCUACGGGAGGCAGCAGUGGGGAAUAUUGCGCAAUGGACGRAARUYYKRMSSMRGSRMSGCCGCGUGUGGGAUGAAGCUCUUCGGGGUGUAAACCACUGUUGCCCGGGAAGAAACUCCUGAUUCGUCAGGACUGACGGUACCGGGUGAGGAAGCACCGGCUAACUCUGUGCCAGCCGCCGCGGUAAUAC
Molecule: ribosomal RNA, 508 nt
Filed under: uncultured Gemmatimonas sp.
Lineage: Bacteria; Pseudomonadati; Gemmatimonadota; Gemmatimonadia; Gemmatimonadales; Gemmatimonadaceae
Description: partial 16S ribosomal RNA
Rfam family: Bacterial small subunit ribosomal RNA
Source: RNAcentral